Molecule: transfer RNA, 88 nt
Filed under: Rickettsiales endosymbiont of Peranema trichophorum
Lineage: Bacteria; Pseudomonadati; Pseudomonadota; Alphaproteobacteria; Rickettsiales
Description: tRNA-Leu
Rfam family: tRNA
About the family: Transfer RNA (tRNA) molecules are approximately 80 nucleotides in length. Their secondary structure includes four short double-helical elements and three loops (D, anti-codon, and T loops). Further hydrogen bonds mediate the characteristic L-shaped molecular structure. tRNAs have two regions of fundamental functional importance: the anti-codon, which is responsible for specific mRNA codon recognition, and the 3' end, to which the tRNAs corresponding amino acid is attached (by aminoacyl-tRNA synthetases). tRNAs cope with the degeneracy of the genetic code in two manners: having more than one tRNA (with a specific anti-codon) for a particular amino acid; and 'wobble' base-pairing, i.e. permitting non-standard base-pairing at the 3rd anti-codon position.
Source: RNAcentral
GCGGCUGUGGUGGAAUUUGGUAGACACGCAACGUUGAGGUCGUUGUUCCUGAAAUGGAUUGAAAGUUCAAGUCUUUUCAGCCGCACCA